RNAcentral lists this ribosomal RNA (678 nucleotides) under uncultured bacterium. RNAcentral describes it as "bacterial SSU rRNA". It matches the Rfam family "Bacterial small subunit ribosomal RNA", at positions 94 to 803 of the family's 1533-position model. The record is from RNAcentral.
AGUGGCGGACGGGUGAGUAACACGUUAGUACCUGCCCUCUAGUGGGGGAUAACUGCCCGAAAGGGUAGCUAAUACCGCAUGUGAUCGUUUACGAUCAAAGCAGUAAUGCGCUAGAGGAGGGGCUUGCGUCUGAUUAGCUAGUUGGUGAGGUAAUGGCUCACCAAGGCGAUGAUCAGUAGCUGGUUCGAGAGGAUGACCAGCCACACUGGGACUGAGAUACGGCCCAGACUCCUACGGGAGGCAGCAGUGAGGAAUCUUCCGCAAUGGACGAAAGUCUGACGGAGCAACGCCGCGUGCAGGAUGACGGCCUUCGGGUUGUAAACUGCUUUUCUGAAGGAAGAUAAUGACGGUACUUCAGGAAUAAGGACCGGCUAACUACGUGCCAGCAGCCGCGGUAAUACGUAGGGUCCAAGCGUUAUCCGGAAUCACUGGGCGUAAAGCGUGCGUAGGUGGUUCGUUAAGUCUGUCGUGAAAUCCCCGGGCUCAACCUGGGAAUGGCGAUGGAUACUGGCGGGCUAGAGUGCGGUAGAGGAGAGUGGAAUUCCCGGUGUAGCAGUGAAAUGCGUAGAGAUCGGGAGGAACAUCAGUUGCGAAGGCGGCUCUCUGGACCAGCACUGACACUGAGGCACGAAAGCGUGGGGAGCAAACAGGAUUAGAUACCCUGGUAGUCCACGCCCU